RNAcentral lists this long non-coding RNA (332 nucleotides) under Mytilus galloprovincialis (Mediterranean mussel). The record is from RNAcentral. Lineage: Eukaryota; Metazoa; Mollusca; Bivalvia; Mytilida; Mytilidae.
UAUAUAAAAAGAAGAUGUGGUAUGAUUGCCAAUGAGACAACUAUCCACAAAAGACCAAAAUGACACAAGCAUUAACAAUUAUAGGUCACCGUACGGCCUUCAACUAUGAGCAAAGCCCAUACCGCAUAUAGUCAGCUAUAAAAGGCCCUGAUAAGACAAUGUAAAACAAUUCAAGCGAGAAAAUUAACGGCCUUUUUAUGUAAAAAAAUGAACGAUAAAACAAAUAUGUAACACAUAAACAAACGACAACCACUGAAUUACAGGCUCCUGACUUGGGACAGGCACAUACAUAAAUAAUGUGGCGGGGUUAAACAUGUUAGCGGGAUCCCAAC